This 18-nucleotide small nuclear RNA is filed under the name Arabidopsis thaliana (thale cress). RNAcentral's name for it is "snRNA_17357". Lineage: Eukaryota; Viridiplantae; Streptophyta; Magnoliopsida; Brassicales; Brassicaceae. The record is from RNAcentral.
CUUGGACUGGGCAGCCCG